AACGCUAGCUACAGGCUUAACACAUGCAAGUCGAGGGGCAGCAUUUCAGUUUGCUUGCAAACUGGAGAUGGCGACCGGCGCACGGGUGAGUAACACGUAUCCAACCUGCCGAUAACUCGGGGAUAGCCUUUCGAAAGAAAGAUUAAUACCCGAUGGUAUAAUCAGACCGCAUGGUCUUGUUAUUAAAGAAUUUCGGUUAUCGAUGGGGAUGCGUUCCAUUAGGCAGUUGGUGAGGUAACGGCUCACCAAACCUUCGAUGGAUAGGGGUUCUGAGAGGAAGGUCCCCCACAUUGGAACUGAGACACGGUCCAAACUCCUACGGGAGGCAGCAGUGAGGAAUAUUGGUCAAUGGGCGCAGGCCUGAACCAGCCAAGUAGCGUGAAGGAUGACUGCCCUAUGGGUUGUAAACUUCUUUUAUAUGGGAAUAAAGUUUUCCACGUGUGGAAUUUUGUAUGUACCAUAUGAAUAAGGAUCGGCUAACUCCGUGCCAGCAGCCGCGGUAAUACGGAGGAUCCGAGCGUUAUCCGGAUUUAUUGGGUUUAAAGGGAGCGUAGGUGGACAGUUAAGUCAGUUGUGAAAGUUUGCGGCUCAACCGUAAAAUUGCAGUUGAUACUGGCUGUCUUGAGUACAGUAGAGGUGGGCGGAAUUCGUGGUGUAGCGGUGAAAUGCUUAGAUAUCACGAAGAACUCCGAUUGCGAAGGCAGCUCACUGGACUGCAACUGACACUGAUGCUCGAAAGUGUGGGUAUCAAACAGGAUUAGAUACCCUGGUAGUCCACACAGUAAACGAUGAAUACUCGCUGUUUGCGAUAUACAGUAAGCGGCCAAGCGAAAGCAUUAAGUAUUCCACCUGGGGAGUACGCCGGCAACGGUGAAACUCAAAGGAAUUGACGGGGGCCCGCACAAGCGGAGGAACAUGUGGUUUAAUUCGAUGAUACGCGAGGAACCUUACCCGGGCUUAAAUUGCAUUUGAAUAUAUUGGAAACAGUAUAGUCGUAAGACAAAUGUGAAGGUGCUGCAUGGUUGUCGUCAGCUCGUGCCGUGAGGUGUCGGCUUAAGUGCCAUAACGAGCGCAACCCUUAUCUUUAGUUACUAACAGGUCAUGCUGAGGACUCUAGAGAGACUGCCGUCGUAAGAUGUGAGGAAGGUGGGGAUGACGUCAAAUCAGCACGGCCCUUACGUCCGGGGCUACACACGUGUUACAAUGGGGGGUACAGAAGGCAGCUACCUGGUGACAGGAUGCUAAUCCCAAAAGCCUCUCUCAGUUCGGAUCGAAGUCUGCAACCCGACUUCGUGAAGCUGGAUUCGCUAGUAAUCGCGCAUCAGCCAUGGCGCGGUGAAUACGUUCCCGGGCCUUGUACACACCGCCCGUCAAGCCAUGAAAGCCGGGGGUACCUGAAGUACGUAACCGCAAGGAGCGUCCUAGGGUAAAACUGGUAA
This 1439-nucleotide ribosomal RNA is filed under the name uncultured organism. Its description in RNAcentral is "SSU rRNA". It matches the Rfam family "Bacterial small subunit ribosomal RNA". The record is from RNAcentral.